RNAcentral lists this unclassified non-coding RNA (359 nucleotides) under soil metagenome. RNAcentral's name for it is "partial contains 5.8S ribosomal RNA, internal transcribed spacer 2, and large subunit ribosomal RNA". The stretch from base 5 to 121 matches the Rfam family "5.8S ribosomal RNA", at positions 38 to 154 of the family's 154-position model. The record is from RNAcentral.
GAUGGAAGAACGUAGUGAAAUGCGAUAAGUAAUGUGAAUUGCAGAAUCUCGUGAAUCAUUGAAUCUUUGAACGCACAUUGCGCCCUAUGGUAUUCCGUAGGGCAUGCCUGUCUGAGCGUCAGCUCGUCUUCUCAAGCUCUUUUGCUUGGAUAACAUUAAGGAAGCAUGUUCUUGCAACUUGCUCCUUAGAAAUACAUAGGCGGUACGGUUCUAGCAAACCAGACGUAAUAAAUAUUCUUUUAUAUAUUCGUCCUUUGUUAUAGUGCUGUUGCUUGCCUCUUAAUCCACAUCUUUAUUCAAGAUGACCUCAGAUCAGGUAGGGAUACCCGCUGAACUUAAGCAUAUCAAUAAGCGGAGGA